This is a non-coding RNA of Salvia hispanica, 442 nucleotides long. The record is from RefSeq and is a predicted model, not a curated record. NCBI's taxonomy places the organism in Eukaryota, Viridiplantae, Streptophyta, Magnoliopsida, Lamiales, Lamiaceae.
UCCGAGAUUCAAGAAAUCCUUGCGUUUGAGGCUGCAAAUUCAAGGGCAAACAAGGGGAAGAUGGUUAUGGAAGAUUCAUCACAUGAGCGCGACGACACCUCUAUAAGCAGCGGGGACUAUGAUUCAGAGCUCGACGAACGCAUGUAUUUGCCCGAACGAGGUGGAUUCAAGUAGCAAAAAUAUCAUUCCCUGCUUCAAUCUCCAAGUUAGAAAUGAUAGAAUAUUUCGAGUGUCGAAGAUGAAGAUGGUUGUUUAUAAUUGAAGAGGUUAGGAAAAGAAGGUGGUGAACCCAAAUUUUAGCUUAGAAAUAGAAAAUAUAUGCAUAAGAGAUAGAUAUAUAUACAUUGUGAAGAUCAUUAGUGUGUGUUGUAUAAACUUAUUACAAUUCGAUAGCAUGUAGGAUAUGCCAGCUUAAAUUGGAGGUUCACUACUUAAAUAUUUA